ACCACGCCUACUUUGUUCACGUAAACCUGUAUUGUAAAAUUUAAAUAAAAAUGUAUAGGGUUGGCCUAUUUUUUUUAGGGUAGUUCGGGUUACGCCAACAUAACAUUUUGUUUUUAAGGCCUUUUAUGAAGAAGCUGCUUUACCAAAUAUUAAAUUUAAAUUAUUAAACUGAUAUUUUACAUUAUGCAAAUAUUGACUGCUUAUCAAGAAAAUGGUGAAAUCUAUCGCCCUGAGGUGAUGCGAGACGUAGCGGGUAUUGCUAAAUCCCGCAAAUCCUGCAUACCCCACAAACCUCCAAAAUCACAUUGUAGAACUCAUCCAAACUACAACUUUAGAUAUAAACAAGUGAAGAAAAGUCAUGUCUCUCCUAUGCAAACAGAUGAUGAAAUUGUACCAGAUUCUGUUGACAGUGAUCUCUCUGCUAAAAUACCAGCACUUCACAAAAAAGAAAAAAUGAAAAAAAAAAUUACAGGAAAGAACAACCCGAUGGCGAGAAGAUUGAUGAAGAAUAUGUAGACAUUGAUACCUUUGCUAGAUCACCCCCAGAUAGUGAAAAUGUUGACCAAGCACUAGUCAAUGAUUCUAUACAACCACCAGAUAGUAAGAAAAUUGAUCUAGAAUCUGUUGUUUCCGACACUGAAAGCUUUGUUAUAUCACCACCAGAUGGUGAGAAGAUUGCCAAGAAUCAGUUGUUUCAGACAUUGAUACCUUUGCUAGAUCACCACCAGAUAGUAAGAAGAUUGAUCAAGAAUCUGUUGUUUCCGACACUGAAAGCUUUGUUAUAUCACCACCAGUUUUAAAUGAUGUACAGUAAUUUUAGC
Molecule: long non-coding RNA, 821 nt
Filed under: Anneissia japonica
Lineage: Eukaryota; Metazoa; Echinodermata; Crinoidea; Comatulida; Comatulidae
Description: uncharacterized LOC117102837, transcript variant X4
Source: RNAcentral